CCAUUCAUGGGCGCAGCCUGAUGCAGCCAUGCCGCGUGUGUGAAGAAGGCCUUCUGGUUGUAAAGUACUUUCAGCGGGGAGGAAGGUGCUUUAGAUAAUACCCUCAGAUAUUGAACUUUCCCCCCAAAAAAACCCCCGCUUACUUCUGGGCCACCACCCCCGUAAAUACGAAGGGGGCAGCCGUUAUCCGAAUUUAUGGGCGUAAAAGCGCGCGUAGGCGGCUGUUUAAUCCGAAGGGAAAUCCCCCGACUUUACCUGGGAACUGGCAUUCAAACUGGGUUACUUAAAUCGUGGAAAAGGAUGUAAAAAUUCCAGGUGUACCGUGAAAAUGCUAAAAGAUCUGAAGAAACCCGUGGGCAAAGGCGCCCCCUGGACCUAACUGGACCCUGAUGUGAAAAAGUGGGGGAGCACAGGAUUUAUACCCCCUGGUACCCCAUGCCGUACAAUGUGUCUACUAAGGUUUGGCCCCUUUGACGCUUUUUCGGCGCCUAUAACGCUAUAUCUACACCCCGUGGAGAACACGGUCACAGUAAUAACUCUCAUAUGUUUUGAGGG
Molecule: ribosomal RNA, 555 nt
Filed under: Acinetobacter sp. NIIST
Lineage: Bacteria; Pseudomonadati; Pseudomonadota; Gammaproteobacteria; Moraxellales; Moraxellaceae
Description: partial 16S ribosomal RNA
Rfam family: Bacterial small subunit ribosomal RNA
Source: RNAcentral